Molecule: ribosomal RNA, 449 nt
Filed under: uncultured bacterium
Lineage: Bacteria
Description: partial 16S ribosomal RNA
Rfam family: Bacterial small subunit ribosomal RNA
Source: RNAcentral
GUGGGGAAUUUUGGACAAUGGGCGAAAGCCUGAUCCAGCCAUGCCGCGUGCAGGAUGAAGGCCUUCGGGUUGUAAACUGCUUUUGUACGGAACGAAAAGACUCCUUCUAAUAAAGGGGGUCCAUGACGGUACCGUAAGAAUAAGCACCGGCUAACUACGUGCCAGCAGCCGCGGUAAUACGUAGGGUGCAAGCGUUAAUCGGAAUUACUGGGCGUAAAGCGUGCGCAGGCGGUUAUAUAAGACAGAUGUGAAAUCCCCGGGCUCAACCUGGGAACUGCAUUUGUGACUGCAUCGCUGGAGUGCGGCAGAGGGGGAUGGAAUUCCGCGUGUAGCAGUGAAAUGCGUAGAUAUGCGGAGGAACACCGAUGGCGAAGGCAAUCCCCUGGGCCUGCACUGACGCUCAUGCACGAAAGCGUGGGGAGCAAACAGGAUUAGAAACCUGGUAGUCC